Molecule: ribosomal RNA, 998 nt
Filed under: Anoxybacillus sp.
Lineage: Bacteria; Bacillati; Bacillota; Bacilli; Caryophanales; Anoxybacillaceae
Description: bacterial SSU rRNA
Rfam family: Bacterial small subunit ribosomal RNA (bases 1-868)
Source: RNAcentral
UGCUAUACUGCAAGUCGAGCGGACGAUUCAAAAGCUUGCUUUUGGAUCGUUAGCGGCGGACGGGUGAGUAACACGUGGGCAACCUGCCCUGUAGACGGGGAUAACACCGAGAAAUCGGUGCUAAUACCGGAUAAUACGAAAGGCCGCAUGGUCUUUCGUUGAAAGACGGCGCAAGCUGUCGCUACAGGAUGGGCCCGCGGCGCAUUAGCUAGUUGGUGAGGUAACGGCCUCACCAAGGGCGACGAUGCGUAGCCCGACCUGAGAAGGGUGAUCGGCCACACUGGGACUGAGACACGGCCCAGACUCCUACGGGAGGCAGCAGUAGGGAAUCUUCCGCAAUGGACGAAAGUCUGACGGAGCAACGCCGCGUGAGCGAAGAAGGCCUUCGGGUCGUAAAGCUCUGUUGUUAGGGAAGAACAAGUACCGCAGUCACUGGCGGUACCUUGACGGUACCUAACGAGAAAGCCACGGCUAACUACGUGCCAGCAGCCGCGGUAAUACGUAGGUGGCAAGCGUUGUCCGGAAUUAUUGGGCGUAAAGCGCGCGCAGGCGGUUCCUUAAGUCUGAUGUGAAAGCCCACGGCUCAACCGUGGAGGGUCAUUGGAAACUGGGGGACUUGAGUGCAGAAGAGGAGAGCGGAAUUCCACGUGUAGCGGUGAAAUGCGUAGAGAUGUGGAGGAACACCAGUGGCGAAGGCGGCUCUCUGGUCUGUAACUGACGCUGAGGGCGCGAAAGCGGGGGGGAGCAAACAGGGAUUAGAUACCCCUGGGUAGUCCCCGCCCGUAAAACGAAGAAUUGCUAAGUGGUAAAAGGGGAAUCCCACCCUUUUAGUGGCUGUAACCUAAACCGCCAUUAAAGCACUCCCGCCCUGGGGGAAGUACGCCUCGCCAAGAAGUGGAAACUUCAAAAGGGAAUUUGGACGGGGGGGCCCCGCCAACAAGGCGGGUGGGAAGCCAUUGGUGGGUUUUUAAUUUUCGAAAAGCAAACGGCGAAAAGAA